This is a long non-coding RNA of Bos indicus x Bos taurus (hybrid cattle), 1589 nucleotides long. Lineage: Eukaryota; Metazoa; Chordata; Mammalia; Artiodactyla; Bovidae. The record is from Ensembl.
CCAAACUAUAGACAGGCACUAAACACUACCCUCAUUUUAUAUAGGAGGAGACUUCAGCUCAGUGGGACUAAGUAACUUUGGAAAGAAUACAAUAGAUAAGUAACAGACCUGGAAUUUGUAUGGAUAUAGUUCUUAAACUUACAGGCUUGUUCUUAACCACUAGCUGGCUGUCACAGGACAGCCCUGUGUUUGGAUUAGGUAGGUGGCAUCUAAAUGCCAUGCUUUGAAGGACCACAUGGGAUUGCCCUUGGUGCUCACUCAUAUGCCCACAACCUCCUCUGUGAGCUCCUGCAUUUGGGUAAAGGCAUCACUUACAGUUUCUGCAUUCAGAUGGACUCAGACUGAAUGCAUUCAGGUUGAAUCUUGGUGCUUCUACUUUCCAGUUUGUGGCCUUGGACCUCAGCUUUGUUAUCUGUAAAGUGGGGCUACUAAUACCUCCUUCAGAGAGUCGUUAUGAAGAUUCAGUGAAAUUGUGUUUGUGAAACACCUGGCCCAGAGGACCUACCACUUUUUAAGGGAUGGAUUCAUAGGAGGAAACACCGUGAUCUACUGACUGGCAUCAGUGAAAAGCUCCAGAGAAUGGAAUAUAAGCAGGACUCCUCUCCGAAGACCCAGGCUGGCAGACAUUGUCACCAACCACGUGGGGAAUUGAAGCAAAGGCCUCUGAAACUGCAAAACCCACUGAAAUGGAUUUUGAGAAGAAUACCCAGGUGUCUGUGGUGGGAAAAGAGCUGCACACGGAACAAGCUUUUCCUGAACACGUGCUGUGUGCAGGUCUCCUCUUGGGACCUUGGGAUGAAGGAAGAGAAAGAAAAUAGAGCCCCUGCCCUCAGAGAGCCUCCAGUCUGGGAACGUAAACUCGCAUAUCCGUGAUGCCUGAUAACUCUCUUGAACUCACUGCUGCAAAAAUGGCUUCUCGGCGUGUAAACAAGGUAUCUGAACUCUUUACCAAGCAAGUGUUGAAUGUGUUUGGUAGCUCAAGUUCUGGCAUCAGAGAGUGGCUUUCAACCCUAUGUCUGUCACUUACAGGCUGAUCCACUCAUCCUGGUUUGCCUGGGACCUCCGCAGUUUAGCACUGAAAAGCCCCCAUCCUGGGCACCCCAGCUUCUUAUAGAUUUUGUGUCCUUGGGCAAAUCACUUGAUCUCUUUGAACCUCAGUUUCUUUAACUGUAACAUGCAAAUAGUAAUUCUGAUCUAUUAUGACUGUUGUGAUAGUUAAAUGGGGAUGCAUUAAGAGAGUCUAGCAGAGCACGUGGUUCUGCAAGUGUUAAUAUUAUCAUUUAUUAUUACUGCUGUUAUAACAGUCAUGGAUUUGAUGGAUUCACAUUCAUUUUACCUCCCUUUUCCUGGACAGCAACUGCAUGCUGUCCUGGAAAACGUGAAACUGACUGUGAUGGUUCAUAAUAUGUUUCUAUGAAUGGUAAAGAGCUACUGUUGUUGAGGAAUUUUCUUCUCAAAUGUAAUAUAGAUUUCUAACUUCCCCUUUUUACUUUCUCUGUAUACUAAUCUUUUUUUCCUUUUCGUUGUCAUGGGAUCUGAAAUGACACUACCCGUGAACAGUCAUGUAAAACAAUUGUCUGAAACAUAAU